Molecule: ribosomal RNA, 944 nt
Filed under: uncultured Bacillota bacterium
Lineage: Bacteria; Bacillati; Bacillota
Description: bacterial SSU rRNA
Rfam family: Bacterial small subunit ribosomal RNA
Source: RNAcentral
CAAGUCGAGCGAGGGCUUAUUUCCCGCAAGGGAGAUGAGUUCCUAGCGGCGAACGGGUGAGUAACACGUGGGCAACCUUUCCUAUCGCGGGGGAUAACACCGGGAAACCGAUGCUAAUACCGCAUGUCGUCACCGGUCGCAUGGCUGGUGAAGAAAGCAGCAAUGCACGAUGGGGUGGGCCCGCGGCCUAUCAGCUAGUCGGUGGGGUAACGGCCUACCGAGGCGAUGACGGGUAGCUGGUCUGAGAGGACGGCCAGCCACACGGGGACUGAGACACGGCCCCGACUCCUACGGGAGGCAGCAGUGAGGAAUCUUCCGCAAUGGGCGAAAGCCUGACGGAGCGACGCCGCGUGUGCGAUGAAGUCCUUCGGGAUGUAAAGCACUGUCGGAGGGGAAGACAAAUGACGGUACCCUCCAAGAAAGCCCCGGCUAACUACGUGCCAGCAGCCGCGGUAAUACGUAGGGGGCAAGCGUUAUCCAGAUUUACUGGGCGUAAAGCGCGUGUAGGCGGCUGGUUAGGUGUGAUGUGAAAUCUUCCGGCUCAACCGGAAAACUGCAUUGCAAACCGGCCUGGCUAGAGUGCAGGAGAGGGAAGCGGAAUUCCAGGUGUAGCGGUGAAAUGCGUAGAUAUCUGGAGGAACACCAGUGGCGAAGGCGGCUUCCUGGCCUGCAACUGACGCUGAGACGCGAAAGCGUGGGGAGCGAACCGGAUUAGAUACCCGGGUAGUCCACGCCCUAAACGUUGUGAACUAGGUGUUGGUCGGAUUGACCCGAUCAGUGCCGCAGCUAACGCAUUAAGUUCACCGCCUGGGGACUACGGCCGCAAGGUUAAAACUCAAAGGAAUAGGCGGGGGCCCGCACAAGCAGCGGAACGUGUGGUUUAAUUCGAGGCAACGCGAAGAACCUUACCUGGGCUUGACAUGCACAGGAAAUUCUCGUGAAAC